CCUACGGGAGGCAGCAGUGGGGAAUCUUGCGCAAUGGGCGAAAGCCUGACGCAGCGACGCCGCGUGGAGGAUGAAGGUCUUCGGAUUGUAAACUCCUUUUGUCGGGGAAGAUAAUGACGGUACCCGAUGAAUAAGCCACGGCUAACUCUGUGCCAGCAGCCGCGGUAAU
RNAcentral lists this ribosomal RNA (169 nucleotides) under uncultured bacterium. Its description in RNAcentral is "partial 16S ribosomal RNA". It matches the Rfam family "Bacterial small subunit ribosomal RNA", at positions 338 to 524 of the family's 1533-position model. The record is from RNAcentral.